AUAGGCUAAUUAAGGGCGUAUGGGGGAUGCCUAGGCUCUCAGAGGCGAAGAAGGACGUGAUAAGCUGCGAAAAGCUACGGGGAGUGGCACAUACAUUGUGAUCCGUAGAUAUCCGAAUGGGGCAACCUGUUAUGUUGAAGACAUAUCACCUCGUAAGAGGAGCAAACCCGGGGAACUGAAACAUCUAAGUACCCGGAGGAGAAGAAAACAAAAGUGAUUCCGCUAGUAGCGGCGAGCGAACGCGGAACAGCCCAAACCAAAGUUGUUACGGCAAUUUUGGGGUAAUAGGACCACAACAUUUGAUGCAUUAUGAACUAGAAUCUACUGGAAAGUAGAACCAUAGAGGGUGAUAGUCCUGUAUAGGUACAAUGAUGUUAUUGAUAGUGGUAUCCUGAGUAGUGCGGGGCACGUGAAACCUUGCAUGAAUUCGCCGGGACCAUCCGGUAAGGCUAAAUACUCCUGAGAGACCGAUAGUGAACCAGUACCGUGAGGGAAAGGUGAAAAGAACCCUGAAUAAGGGAGUGAAAUAGAUCCUGAAACCAUACGCUUACAAGCGGUCGGAGCCCUUUAGGGGGUGACGGCGUGCCUUUUGCAUAAUGAGCCUACGAGUUACCGUUGCUAGCAUGGUUAAUCCGUUCAGCGGAGGAUCCGAAGCGAAAGCGAGUCUGAAUAGGGCGAAUAAGUUAGUAGUGGUAGACGCGAAACCGAGUGAUCUACCCAUGAGCAGGUUGAAGCUUUGUUAACCCAAAGUGGAGGACCGAACCCGUUGACGUUGAAAAGUCUUGGGAUGACUUGUGGGUAGGGGUGAAAGGCCAAUCAAACUCGGAAAUAGCUCGUACUCCCCGAAAUGCAUUUAGGUGCAGCGUUGUAAUAGUUAUAUAGAGGUAGAGCUACUGAUUGGAUGCGGGGGCUUCACCGCCUACCAAUUCCUGACAAACUCCGAAUGCUAUAUAAUGUUUUACAGCAGUGAGGGCAUGGGUGCUAAGGUCCAUGUCCGAGAGGGAAAGAACCCGGACCAUCAGCUAAGGUCCCCAAGUGUAUACUAAGUUGAAUAAACGAGGUUUGACUGCCCAGACAGCUAGGAUGUUGGCUUGGAAGCAGCCAUUCAUUUAAAGAGUGCGUAACAGCUCACUAGUCGAGCGGACGAGCAUGGAUAAUAAUCGGGCAUAAGUAUAGUACCGAAGCUAUGGAUUUGUAUUAUAUACAAGUGGUAGGGGAGCAUUCUAACAGGGUUGAAGGUGUAUCGUAAGGUAUGCUGGACUGGUUAGAAAAGAAAAUGUAGGCAUAAGUAACGAUAAUGCGGGCGAGAAACCCGCACACCGAAAGACUAAGGUUUCCACAGCUAUGCUAAUCAGCUGUGGGUUAGUCGGGACCUAAGGCGAACCCGAAAGGGACAGUCGAUGGACAACGGGUUAAUAUUCCCGUACUACUUAUUACUGUGAUGGGGUGACGGAGUGAUGAAAGCGCCGCGAACUGACGGAAUAGUUCGUUGAAGUACCUACCUAUAAGAAGCGCAGGCAAAUCCACGCUUCUUGGGGAAAUACGAUAGUACUCGGAGACUUCGGUCAAAGAGAUAGUGCGCCUAAGGGCUUCCAAGAAAAACCUCUAAACUUCAGGUAAUAAGUACCCGUACCGCAAACCGACACAGGUAGUCGAGGAGAGAAUCCUAAGGUGCUCGAGAGAUUCAUGGCUAAGGAAUUAGGCAAAAUAGACCCGUAACUUCGGGAGAAGGGUCGCCACGCUUUUGGCGUGGCCGCAGUGAAGAGGUCCAGGCGACUGUUUAUCAAAAACACAGGGCUCUGCAAAAUCGUAAGAUGAAGUAUAGGGCCUGACACCUGCCCGGUGCUGGAAGGUUAAGUGGAGAUGUUAUCUUCGGAGAAGCAUUGAAAUGAAGCCCCAGUAAACGGCGGCCGUAACUAUAACGGUCCUAAGGUAGCGAAAUUCCUUGUCGGGUAAGUUCCGACCU
Molecule: ribosomal RNA, 1966 nt
Filed under: marine metagenome
Description: bacterial LSU rRNA
Rfam family: Bacterial large subunit ribosomal RNA
Source: RNAcentral